This 253-nucleotide ribosomal RNA is filed under the name uncultured bacterium. RNAcentral describes it as "partial 16S ribosomal RNA". It matches the Rfam family "Bacterial small subunit ribosomal RNA", at positions 524 to 776 of the family's 1533-position model. The record is from RNAcentral.
UACAGAGGGUGCAAGCGUUAAUCGGAAUUACUGGGCGUAAAGCGCGCGUAGGUGGCUAUGUAAGUUGAAUGUGAAAUCCCCGGGCUCAACCUGGGAACUGCAUCCAAAACUGCAUGGCUAGAGUACGGUAGAGGGUGGUGGAAUUUCCUGUGUAGCGGUGAAAUGCGUAGAUAUAGGAAGGAACACCAGUGGCGAAGGCGACCACCUGGACUGAUACUGACACUGAGGUGCGAAAGCGUGGGGAGCAAACAGG